This is a non-coding RNA of Callithrix jacchus (white-tufted-ear marmoset), 1207 nucleotides long. The record is from RefSeq and is a predicted model, not a curated record. Lineage: Eukaryota; Metazoa; Chordata; Mammalia; Primates; Cebidae.
GUUUAAGAAUAUUUUUUACAGGCUGCAGGAGAAGAUGGCGGUCUCCACAGGGGUUAAAGUUCCCCGUAAUUUUCGCUUGUUGGAAGAACUUGAAGAAGGACAAAAAGGAGUAGGCGAUGGUACGGUUAGCUGGGGCCUUGAAGAUGAUGAAGAUAUGACACUUAAGGUGGACAGGCAUGAUUAUUGGGCCACCACGGACAAAUUAUGAAAACAGAAUAUAUAGCCUGAAAGUAGAAUGUGGACCUAAAUACCCCGAAGCUCCUCCGUCAGUUAGAUUUGUAACAAAAAUUAAUAUGAAUGGAGUAAAUAAUUCCAGUGGAUGCCCGGAGCAUACCAGUGUUAGCAAAAUGGCAAAAUUCAUAUAGCAUUAAAGUUGUACUUCAAGAGCUAAGACGUCUAAUGAUGUCCAAAGAAAAUAUGAAGCUUCCACAGCCACCAGAAGGACAAACGUACAACAAUUAAUUUUAGUGGAUCUCAAACUUGUCUUAAAUCAACAACCUUCUACUCAUGUUAAUGUCUUGAUUAAAUAUCACAAUGCAAAAUACCCACACAUUAAGUAAAAGAAUUCCAGCUGGUAAACAUGACCUGGACAUUUGUAAGAAUAUAUUUAAUAUAUGUACACCCAUUAUGUUUUCAGGUAACAGGAGGAAAAAUGCAGCACAAUUUUUUUUCUCUUGUUAAGGCACUGUCAUUUAAACAUAAACCUGGAGCGCUCGAAAUAGAAUUCAGGUUUACAAGAUGAAAGCGUGUGGAGAAGUGUCAGAUGGCAGUGGAAACAUGUGUGUUUCUAAAAAGUAAAAAUCUCAAGAAAGAAAACAGGAAUGGCAUGCUUUAUCCAUCUUGCUUAGUGAAAGAGCUGCAGUUGAAAUUGUUUAAAACGUAGCAGGUACAAUGAAUAUUGUCACAAAUGUGUUAAUUUUUGAAGUGGUAUGGGUGCUGACUACUAGUAGUAUCAAAAAUAUGUUCAGGAUUGUUUUGAUACCUGUAUUUAUAAUAAAAAAUGUGGGGGGAGUUGAUGAACUUCUGUUAAAAGCUGUUCUUGUGUGUUACAUGUAACAGACAUGGUAAAUAUUUGUUUACAGUCUUUGUUUAACCAUGCAUUUAAGUUUAAGUGAAUUCAACAAAAAGGAAAUAGGUAUAUGGAUAUGUGAUUUUGAGAUUAAAGUUAGUCUUAAAAUAUAAAUAAAUUGUGGAACGUGUCCUCAGA